This 253-nucleotide ribosomal RNA is filed under the name uncultured bacterium. RNAcentral describes it as "partial 16S ribosomal RNA". It matches the Rfam family "Bacterial small subunit ribosomal RNA", at positions 524 to 776 of the family's 1533-position model. The record is from RNAcentral.
UACGUAGGGUGCGAGCGUUGUCCGGAAUUAUUGGGCGUAAAGAGCUUGUAGGCGGUCUGUCGCGUCUGCUGUGAAAAUCCGGGGCUCAACCCCGGACUUGCAGUGGGUACGGGCAGACUAGAGUGUGGUAGGGGAGACUGGAAUUCCUGGUGUAGCGGUGAAAUGCGUAGAUAUCAGGAGGAACACCUGUGGCGAAGGCGGGUCUCUGGGCCGAUACUGACGCUGAGGAGCGAAAGCGUGGGGAGCAAACAGG